UACUACGUCCACGUUAAAUAAAAAUUAAAUUUUCAGAAAAGUUAAAUUUUAAUGUUGAAAUUUUAUUUCUUCUUAUUAUAUAAUAUAAACAAUCAUUUACCUCUAUUGGAAAUGAUAAUUCGAGUUUCAGCAGCAUGAGGCUGCACAGUACUAGGGGGAUUCAAGUUAUGCAAAAUGGUAAAGUAAAAUGGUUCAACAAUGAAAAAGGCUAUGGCUUUAUUGAAGUUGAAGGCGGCAGCGACGUGUUUGUACAUUUUUCUGCCAUCCAAAGCGAAGGUUAUAAAUCCUUGGAAGAAGGCCAAGAGGUAUCUUUUGAAAUUGUAGAAGGCAAUAGAGGCCCGCAAGCCGCUAAUGUCACUAAGCUAUCAUAAAUAGAUCUUUUUAUUUUAUAGUAAAAGAGACUCUUUUCCGAGUCUCUUUUUUGU
The sequence is a regulatory RNA element, 425 nucleotides long. It matches the Rfam family "cspA thermoregulator". The record is from Rfam.